GGUCUUUGGGUAAUUUAAGGGUUAUUAAAUCAUUUAGGAAGGUUUUUAAUACUAUUUAUUAGAUGUUUCAGUGUGAAAAUGGGUUGAAAAAUCAUUUUUCAACUUAAAAAACCCCACCUUAUUUUUUCAACCACCACAACGAUGAUCAUAUUCUAAGUUGGCGCCUAGCAGGCAAUGAGUUGUAUGUUUCUUUUUAUUUUUUUAAAAAUAAAGGGAGGACGACUGGUCGCCUACCUUUUAUAAAAGUAUGUUCCAGGUAAGCUAGUCCUUUUUUGUUUUGUUUUUGUUUUUGUUUUUUUAAUUUCAUUCCUCGAAUUAGGUUUUUGUUGGAGUUUUUAAUUGUUUUUUUUAAUUUUAUCUUUCAAUAUUUGGUUGAUAUUAGAUUUGUCUUCAUAUUUGUUUUAAAAAAUAUAAUUAAAUUAAAAAAAAGAUAUAAUUAAAUUUAGUGAAGUACAUGACUCGAGUUGACUUGAGUUAAUCUAAUAUAUCCAUAUUUUAUUGUUUUUUAAAAAUAUCAUCUUGAGAUUUUUUUUAAACCAAACCACGGUUUCAUAUCUUGUCAAUAUUGCCUUUUCACCAGUGCAUCUAUAUCUUUUUUUUUUAUUUGAUUUUUUUUGUUUUUAAACUUGUCAAGUCAGCUGGGUCAUAUCGAGACAAUUCUCACACGAUUUAGUUCGGAACCCAUGCUAGGUAAAGAGUGAGUUUAUAAGUUUGGCUUAUUUCGUAAUGCCAAAAAAAUUCCUGACCACUUGGAUUUAUUUAUUUAUGUUCAAGAAAAGUUUUCUCUUGCUCGUAUUGUGUAGCAUGACCAGUUAUCUAGCAACCAACUAAAUAGGAUUUGUAAGUAAAAUAUUUUUUAAAUAACAUAUAAAUAUUCAUUUAUAAUAAUAAUAAUAAUAAUAAGAAGUUAUUCCAAUGUUAAACAAGUCUCAUAGCAUAGUAAGUUUAAAAAAUUAAUAAAUAUUAAUGCAUGGAAAGAGCUAUUAAUUAUUUUAUAAUCAAUACUUGAUAAAAAAAACAUAUAAAAAACAUUAAUUUUUGUUGGAUUAUUAAAUUUAAUUAUCUUAAAAACCAUAACCACAUCUGAGACCAAUUAUUAGGUUAUUAGUGGCUAAUGAGCUCGGGGUUCAUAUAUUAUUAAUUUUGUUUUAUGCAUUUCCCUCAUCUUUAAAUAUUGUAUUUCAACACUUAUACUAUUGGUCUGUCUACAUUAAUGUUAGUCCCUCAAACACUGACAAUUAUCAUUCGACUGCUAAAUUUGAAAUAUUAUUUGCAACAUGCUCUUUUGAAAUCAUAAAAAAAGAAAUACAUAAAUAAUUAAAAUAUUUAAAAAACAAAUAUAAGAGGAGAGUUGGCUUAACUUGAUAAAAGAUUGUAAAAGAGAAAUGCCAAUCAAACACUAUAAAUGAGAAAUUGUCAGGUAGCCUUAGUAUAUUAUUACAUCAUUCAUAUACUACUAUACUAGACUAAUAAAUACAAGACACGUAUAUAAAAUAUAAUAAUCUCCUUGAGAUCUCAAGAAAAGUUGACUAUAUCCAUUUCUUCUUAUUCUUUGACUUUAUCUGUUCAUUUGAUAGAUUCAUGGGUAUCACUUCGAGACAAAGCCAAGUAAUGUCGAUUGAGGUUUGGAGUUACAUAAAAGUAUAUGCUUCGAACCGCGGUCGGUUGGAUGGUCUGAAAAGACUAGGAAAGAAAACACGAACGCGAAAAACGGCCGACUUUUUUUGUUUUUUUAGUACAGCCACAAAAGAACAUCAAAGAUAUAAUGGUAGAAAAAAAAAAAAACUUUUUCCAGCCAAUUAAGCCAGCGCAAACAGCUAGGAGACUGGCCCUUCAAAAUGCUUGUGCAAUGCAUUUUGUUUCUCUCCAGCCAUGCACAAAUUUCACCUUCUUCUCCUAAAUAAUGAACAUUCUUGCCUAGUCAAUAGAUUUAGCAUGCAAAUCCUUGGAGUUAAUUUGAGUGCAAGGUUAUGGUUGCUUUUCAAAAUACUUUUUACUUGAAAAUAUAUCAAAAUAAUAUUUCACUAAUAUCUUUUUUUAUUUCUCUUUCCUCCUAGAAAGCCAUGCGUGAUCCUCCACUUUCUUAUAUUAGCCUUUCAAGUAUUUUUUCUUUUGAUUUUGUUCUUGAUUUUUUAUAUAUAUAUAGUUUUGUUUUAAUUCAUUUAUCAAUUUUUUUUUUGUUUUUAAUUGUAUCCUCUUUUAAUUUCUUUACAUAUCAAAUUAUAUCCUUAUUCUUUUGAUUUUGUCCUUUUUAUUUGAGAUAGUUUUUUAUUUUUCAAUUUUACCUCUUCAUUUUUUUUAUUUUUUCAUAUUUGAUACUGAAUCUUUUUUUUUUCUUCGGUGAGUGUUUUAAUUUGAGAUUUUAUUUUUAAUUUUAUUAUUUAUCAUUAAACUGGUUGAUAAUUGAAAUUUUUAAUUGAAUUUUUGUUUUCAAUUUAAAUAUUCACAAUAAUUUUUUUUUCAUGUUAGAAAAAAAUUUAUCUAGCAUGGAGCGCUUCACCAAUCUUGUUCUGUAGCUAAAUCAAAAUGAUAAUUGCUCUUAUUGGUUCCUUUUCAUAAUUCUAUAGCUAGUGUUCCCAGUUGAAUCAAGUGUUGGACGUACCAAAAUGUUCAAAAUGAACAGUGCAGUUCAAUGAUGCCUUUGGGUCUCGGACAAGAAGAUAAUCUGAGUAAUUGAAUUGUUGACACUACAAAAUAGAAAAGAGCUAGGCGAAAACUUAAAAUUAAUAAUAUCAAGUGAUAAAUACAAAGACUCAGGCCUGUAGGGAGCACACGUUUCUUGUCAUAGAUAAUUCCUGCGUGAAUCCCACAUAAAAUAUACCAUUUUCUCAGAGGUUUUAAGCAACUGAGAAUGAAGUUCACAUGGCAUCCAAAUUGGACAGGUUGCUUGGAGUCAAAUUGCCGAAUCAUGCAAGCAUUGCAAAAUUGCAACCCUAACAAAAACAAAUCGUAUACUGGCAACACAAUACGCAUAAUAUUAUUGGCACUAGAAUCAACAGAGUACAUACAUUGCAGUUUAAGAACUGUUUGGCUACGCGGCUGCGAUUUAGUUAAAACGCAAAAAACGAGUUAUUGUUUAUGGAUCCCACAUGUUUUUGUACGUUCGGAACGCAGGUAAUGAAAAGCAACGAAUUCAUGCUUUUCAUCACUGUGCAUGCUAAUUGCACUGUUCACGUGAACAGUGCAGGAGAAUUGCACUGUUCAAAGUGACUAUUCACAGGUGAAUUACUGUUCACGUGAACAGUGCAAUUCUCUUGCAUUGUUCACUUUUUUUUUUUUUUGCAGUGUGUUAAAUUUUUUAACAUUUUUUUUAAAAAACAUUAGUUUAAAGUGAAUUAAAUUUACUCGCACUGUGAUAUGAACAAUAUUUGUUUUCUCGAAAAACUAGUAUAGAAUGAAUUAAAUUCACUCGCACUGUAAUAUCAAUUUUAUACCUAAUAAUAUUUUAUUUAUGCUUAAAAAAUUAUGAAAAUUGUAGUUCUUAUCGAAUAAAUUUUGUACGUAAUUGAAUUAUAAAUAGUUUAAUGGAAUAAUAAAAAAUAUUUUAUAUAAAGUAUUUUUUAUUUUAUGAUGUAAUAGGAUUAAUUAAUUCUACAAUAUUUAAAUUUAAAACCAUCAAUAUUAAUAUAUAUUUUUUAAAAUUAUUUUAUAACCUUAAUUUCAAAAGCAUUCUUAACCAAACACAUUAAACUACUUUUUCUUCAACUUUGAUUUCAACCACAGUUUUAAUCAAACAUCUAUUUUUUCAAACUAACCUCAACUAAAAGUACUUUUUAUAAAACAAAUUUUUCAAAUCACAACCACAACAGCUAUCGUAAUAUCGAACACACUCUAACACGAGCAAGAUUGAACAUAUAUAGGAUCAGACAUGGCUCUUUUGAAAUCUUAAAAAAAGAAAUAGAUAAAUAAUUAAAAUAUUUAAAAAACAAAUAUAAGAGGAGAGUUGGCUUAACUUGAUAAAAGAUUGUAAAAGAGAAAUGCCAAUCAAACACUAUAAAUGAGAAAUUGUCAGGUAGCCUUAGUAUAUUAUUACAUCAUUCAUAUACUACUAUACUAGACUAAUAAAUACAAGACACGUAUAUAAAAUAUAAUAAUCUCCUUGAGAUCUCAAGAAAAGUUGACUAUAUCCAUUUCUUCUUAUUCUUUGACUUUAUCUGUUCAUUUGAUAGAUUCAUGGGUAUCACUUCGAGACAAAGCCAAGUAAUGUCGAUUGAGGUUUGGAGUUACAUAAAAGUAUAUGCUUCGAACCGCGGUCGGUUGGAUGGUCUGAAAAGACUAGGAAAGAAAACACGAACGCGAAAAACGGCCGACUUUUUUUGUUUUUUUAGUAAAUCCAAAUUAAGACUAAUAAAGAUAUAAUGGUAGAAAAAAAAAAAACUUUUUCCAGCCAAUUAAGCCAGCGCAAACAGCUAGGAGACUGGCCCUUCAAAAUGCUUGUGCAAUGCAUUUUGUUUCUCUCCAGCCAUGCACAAAUUUCACCUUCUUCUCCUAAAUAAUGAACAUUCUUGCCUAGUCAAUAGAUUUAGCAUGCAAAUCCUUCGAGCGUAUUUGAGAGUAAGGUUGUGGUUGCUUUUUAAAAUAUUUUUCACUCGAAAGUGUAUCAAAAUAAUAUUUUUUUAUUUUUAAAAAAUUAUUUUUGACAUCAGCGCAUCAAAAUGAUUUAAAAACACCAAAAACUAUUAAUUUAAAGCAAAGAAAAAAAAUUAAAAAAUUUCAAAUUUUUUUCUUUUGAAACGCAAAAACAAACAGGGCUGAAAUCGUUGUCAAGAGAAAAGAGAAGAAGAUCUAAUGGCUAGAAGAAGAUAAUGAGCUGACACAAAACAAAAGGGAGGAGUGAGAAAAGAAAAAAAAAUUGGUACAUCAAAAACACAACAAACCUUCGAAUAUAAUAUCACCAUUACCAUAAAAAAGAUCUUAACAAGAAAACUUGUGGACAACAUGCAAGCUUACCGUAUGAAGCCUGAGUGACGCACACAUGCCAUCCAAAGACAGUGGACACUCACUCACCUAGCGAGUACAUUGCACAUGCCAGGUAAUUUGCCUUCUAGCCAUUUGGGCUGGCCCAAACAUCUAGUCUUUCCCUCUCUCUCCCUUUUUUCCCCCCACCUCUGUCUAUCCAAUCUUACCCCAACACACACCAUUUUGCAUUUUUUAAGUUGCCAGAGUUGCGCACACAAACUUUUUAUGAGUACAAUGUUUCUAUGCAUCACAAUAUUUUUCUAUGCCAUUUUUCUACGUCCAAUGGUUAUUUCCUGGCAUUAUCAGUGGCUACCAUCUCCACCAAUGACGAGCAUGACACAAAACAAACUGGUGACUCAACUUUCUAGGAAAGUAUUGCCACCAACAUCUUUAUUAAUGAAGAAUAUGACACUGUAACCGAUGACUUAACUUUCUAGAAAAAUGCUUUUCUUCUACGUGAUAUAAGUUCAAGGACUAAGUGUAUAAAUAUACUCAAUCACCAGGUAAAAGGGGCAGACCUAUUCUCUUCCACACAAAUCCUAAAUUUUGGGAAUUGGACUCACAAACUAAAAUAGUCUUUUAUCCUGCUAUACACAUUGUCUUCACAUACAUUUGACCCCUUUCAUAUUUACUAACUUAAACAUCAGGUGAAAACCAACUUGACCAGGGUUAAGACCAGUCAACAGCCUAGUAUACGACCAUGAAAAACCCAAUUUAUAACUGAAGUUUUUCAUGACUUUAUCAAUGGCUCCGUCUGUGGAAACUAAAUAAAAAGCUAGAAAAUUCUCAUCCAUCAUAAAAUGUUCUUUCCAUGGCUGAUGGAACUCCAGUAAAUGGGCGAGUAACUAAUCUCCUAACCAUAAAAACUCCAUCUCUUCCAGAUAUUCACCAACUCUUUCAUCAAAUACAAGUUCGUAACAAUAAUGUUUUAGCCAUACAAGAAUAGCUUCACACUGUUCCAUUCCAUCAAUAGGGUUUUUAGCCAUAUGUAAAAAACAUUUUGUUCUUUCUAAAUUUUCUUUUUAGGCUUUGUUUGGUAAAAAUCCAUUUUCUUUAUUAGAUAAAACUACCAAAACAAGUCUAAAGGCGUGUUUUCCAAACACACCCUUAAGCUAAAAAUUCCUUUAUAAAAAAGGUUAAAAACCAAACAGCGCCUUACACAUCUAAACCAGAUUUGACCCGAUCAGGUUGGCCCAAAAUAUUUGGUUCAACCCAAAAUUUUUGGUUCGAUCAUAAAUUGAACCAAAGAUCACGGGUUAGACAAAAAAAAAACCAAAACCCAAAAUAGAUUAAACUUGCAAAAAACAUAAAAAAAAAAUUUAUAUAUAAAAAACGGAUCAAAACCCAAAAAACUUAAGAACGCGAAGAACAUUCAAAGCAAACCCAACAACAUUAGUCUCAAAUCUGACUACAUAUAAUUAAAUCAAAGGCACAUGCAUGUCAAAAAUCAAUCAUUGAAUCAUAAUCAAGCAUCAAACAUCAACAAUUGUCACCCAAUAAUUAUGAUUUGAUCAAAAUUGAUUUUGAUGCAAAAACAAAACCUUAUGAUUAAAACUAAGAAAAAACAGUUAUUGAUGCAAACCAACUUUAGAUUAUUGAUUAAUCGAGUCCCAUAAAAUGUUUGGUGCAAAGAAAUGGACCAAAACUAGUUCAUUUCAUGGAGCCAAAUGAAUGUUCUUUCCAAGAACAUGAAGAACACAAACCCAAAAAUACCCAACCGCUGCCAAAUCCAGAAUUAGCCUUUUAGACCUCUAAACCAAGCUCUUUUAGUUCUCACAAACCACAUUGCCAUAUUCACACAUGUUUGAAUCAAAACAAAUAACAAAAAAAAAAUUCAUAGAAAACAUGUAUGAAAGUUCAAUCUUCAAAAUUGCCAAAGUUGAACAACACACAUAUUCAAUAAUAUGGGAUUCAAAGUUGGCACUUUAAUACUUCAAAAGACUCAACCAAGAUUCAGGGGCAAAGAACAUGCAUUAGCAAACCAUAAAAUAAAAUAAAAACCUUCUGCCAUAUUUAGAAGAUUAAAAAAUUAUUCAAUUUCACCAAAAACAAGCAUCCAAACAAUUUUAAACAUCCAGCAAACAUUAACAACCAACUCGAAGCAAGAUUAUGCAAAGAAAAAUAACAUUUUCAUGCAUUACUCAAGAUUUAAGCUUAAUACUAAAACAAGUUCAAAACAUCAUUAAAACUUACAAGGAAGAGUUAAAGGUGUGCCUUAUGGACAUCACCUGCUAGGUUAGAGGAAGGUUUUAUUUCUUUCAAGCUUAAAAAGUGGUUGUUGCCAUUUACUCUUUUUUGUAAGAUCUUCCCUCCAUAAAUUUCUAUCUUUUCAAAGCUAAAGAUACUCUUGCGCUAGCCUCGUAAACCUUCAUAACUAGGAUCUCUUUAUCAAUAUUUUCUCUUCCCUCAUUCUCCUUUUUUUUUCUCAAUCAUGAUUUUUCAGGGGGUAUUUAUAGGGUUUUUUUAUAGAUUCCAUCAAGGAUUGAUCAUGAUUGAUCAAUGCUUGACUCUCUAAUCGAAAUGGAAGGGUUUGGGGCAAGUUUUAAUAGCUGGAAGCUCUGUACUUGGUUGGUUUCGCAAUGGUAGUUUUUGGGAUUCUUGGUGGUUUUACUAAACUUGAAAGGCAAUGAGCUGUUUUUUGAUUUUUGAUCUACAAAGAAAGGUUUAAAGCCCUUUAUAAGAACCUAUGAAGAAGGCUUGAAGUGUGAACACAUAAAAAAACAAUGGUUUCUGCACAUUGGGUAUCACAGUCAUGGCUGACUAAGUUGACCACUUUUGAAGCCUUGUCGGAGCAAUUCUGACAUCAUCGAUGUCUGAGAUUACCUGAAGUUGGUAGAGGGGUGUGCACACCUUUCAUUUGGAUCCAACCUUGAUCGAUUGGGAGGUCUGCAACUUCACAUUCAUUCAUUUAAAGAUGCCAACUUAAUCAGCAUAUAAUCCAAGGAUGGUUGAUCAGGAACAAGAUGUUGUUAAGUUUGUUGAAGAAAAUGAGAUGUAAACGUUUGAUGAAAGUAACUGAUCCUUAUAGAAGAGGUAUUUCUCAAUUGAGUGGUGGUGGUUAAAGCCCCUAAGGUGGUUGAAGAUGCCACAUUCAUUCGUCUGAAAAUGGCAUAUCGAUCAACAUUAUCGACUGAAGAAGAUGAGACACAAUGACUAAACGAUGUGUCAUUUAAUCCUUUCAUUAAUUCUGAGCAACACAUUGUCUAUGUCAAACCGUAAAAAUUAGGGUUUUUAAAUAAGAAUUUGGGUAAUUUCAAUUUGGUCAUGUACUUUCAAUUUUGGUGUUUACACCUCUACUUGAUCCGAUACUUUCUCAAUUUUCACAAUUGCAUUCCUGAAAACUUUGAUUUAAAUCAUUUAAUUUGAGCGCCUCUAAUAAGUUAGUCAUUGGUUCCCAAAUUAUGCAAUUUGACCCCUAUCAACCAUUAAACUUUUAAUUUCUUUCAAAUUGACCUCUGGUUUGAUCAACUUAAAUCCCUACAUUCAAAUGUUAUUUUUUUUCUGUUUGGUCUUUGGUUUUGAAUUUCUUCAAUUAAGUCCUCAGUUACCCAUCAAGCUUCAAUAUUUAUACAAUUAAGCCCCUGAUUUGAUCAAAUUAGCUUUUUAAAAUUGCAAUUCAACCCCAGACUUCAAUUUCUUCCACUUAAAGCCUAAAUUGAACUAAAAAACCAAUGUUUCUUGUAAUUAAACUCUUAAUAAAUUUAAUUAAACCCUAAAAGGAUUUCAAUUGAGUUCUUAAACAUCCGAUUUCUAUUUUUUUCUUUUUUAAUUGAGUUUUUCUUGUCAAUAGGAGAUCAUUAGUUAAAAUUAAACUAUUAAACUAUCAAUAUAUAUAAACCCUAUAACCAAAAGAAGUCCUUCGACUGGUUAUGUUAGAAUUUAUAUAUUAUAUAAUCGGUCAGAUCAAACUACAAAAGUCUUUAAUUGUCGAUGAUUCAAAAAGUGAAACGAACAGCAUUUGGAAGCGUCAUGCUAUACCAUUGUUGUUCCGUACUGUACUUUUGUUUUUAGAAUUUAUAUAUUAUAUUUGACUCAGAAGUUUGUUGAUUUUUUAAAUAUUAUAUUUGUUUCUAGAUGUACUAUAAUUAGAAUUUUGUUUUCCUUAAAUAAUAGGGCCCGCCAUGCCGGAGGACCUAUAUAUAAAGAGUCAAACUUUGACUGAUUAUUUUCAAGGAAGAAAAUUUCAAAUCGGACUCCACUUCUACUGCUAAUCCACACAACAAGACAAAAGGCACUAUCCCAAAGUAAAAGGUAUAAUAUAAUUUAAAGUGGUUAAUUAAAUCUUUUAUUUUAUCAUUCAAAAAAUAUAUAAAUUCAAGAACAAUCCUUACAAAAAAAAAAAGGGAAAUAGGCAAAUAGCCACCCAACUAGCAUUCCUAGCUAGCUAGUUUUAACUAUCUAUAUAUCACCAACCUGACUAGUUUCCCCUACGGCAUUCUUUGCUUCGCCCGUCGUGUUUGGCUUAUCUUGCUCCAUUUCUUGAACUUGGUAGUCAGAUCGUGGAAAAUUAGUUAUGGCUCUAAUUCCACGAAAUUCUAUAUUUUUCUUAUCAUAAGCUCUAGCAGCAUCCUCUGCAUUAUCAAAAGUUCCCAGCCACAAACGAGACCCUUGCCCUGGGUCCCUUAUCUCCGCUGCCCAUUUUCCCCACGGCCGCUGCCUGACUCCCCGAUACUUGUUCUUCCUCCCUUUCCCUUUACCUUUCUUCUUUGAGGCAUUUCCUCCUCCUCCUCCUCCUUCUUGGUCAGUAGUACUACUGGAGAAAUAGACGCAACCAAGGCAUUGGGAGGUACUCAAUUUGCAAACCGGACACGUCUCAGAAUCUGAAACGUAAAUUAUGCUGCUCCCUCCUCCCACAUUACCAUCAUCAGCCGCUAGGAUUUGCUGCUGGUUCUGGUACUCUAUUGGGCCGGUAGUACUGCCAUGAUCAAUACCACCUGAGAUUACAUGCUUAAGAGCUGAUACUAUGGCGUUGUGUUCGUCUACUCGUCUUUGAACCAAAUUGUUCAACGAGGAGGCAUCCAUUUUAUUUUAUAGUAUCGUACUUUUUUCUUCUCAAGAAAAGUUGGGAUUGUAUGUUUUAAGAAAGAUGACGUGAGGAAAGUUUUGAAUGGAAGUGAUGGGUAUAUAUUGAGAGAAGAAAUGAGCAGACUGCAGUUGGCCCGCCCGCGGAAACAAUCGCGGCAUGUGGAGAAACAAAACUUUAUGGGGCCCACUUGUGACGGUGUGUAAACAGAUGAUUUAUGUUGGCAUGGGCUAUGACUUCUGAGGCGACAUAGGACAACAGUGAAGUGACGGUGUUUUAACGUAGGGAUGCUAUGUUCCUAUGCGUCACAACUACAAAAAAAAUAAAAAUAAAAAAAAUCAACAAAUCAUAUGUUGUAUUUUCCUUGUGCAUUACAUGCAUGUUUUUAUUAACCUACACGUUAUGUAGAUAAUAUAUUGUAGAUUUAAUUGUAUUUAUAAUCAUACAACUCUUAAUAUAUAAGAAUAGAUUAAGCUAUUCAUCCUCUUUAUUUUUAGUUUUCUACUAUUUUUUUUUUAUUUACAAUUUUUUUUAACUGUAUGCAUAGGAUUGUUUAGCAUCAUGCUUGAGAAUCCUGGCAUAAUUAUUAUUUUCAAAAUUACUUUUAAUAUUUUUAUACUAAUGGUAUAUUGAAAAAGGAUCCAUCCAUUUGAGAGUAUGUUGAGAUAUAAUGGUUUAUGGACUUGAUUUUAGGUUUCAGGAACCAAUAAGAGAAAUCAUCGAACCUAUAAAGAAAAACUAAUUGAUUAAUCCUUUGAAAAAUUAAGAAUUAUACCAUACUUAAAUAAAUGUAACAAUUGAAAGUAAAAUGGUGAUCGUGAGGACGACUUGGAUUUUAAAAGACUCAAGAAACCAGCACAAAUCCCUAAAGAAAAGCUGGUGCAUGUGCACUAAUGGGUUGUUUUGAGGGAAUUGGGUGCAUGGGCAAGGAUGAACACUACACUUAGGGUUUGAUUUAGAAUGUGGUAAAAGUUGUUUUGUAAAGUAAUUUUUGUUUGGAAAUAUAUUAAAAUAUAUUUUUUAUUUUUUAAAUUUAUUUUUGACAUUAGCAUAUUAAAAAAUAAAAAAAUUAAAAAAAUUAAUUUAAAGCUAAAAUAUAUUUCAAAAAUAUAGUUAAAAAUAGCCUUCACAAAAUCUCUAAGAAAAAGGCCUAAAAUUAGAGCAUACCCAUCAACCCCACGUAAAAAAGUUUAGGUAUGUAACCAAAAAAAUAAAAGGCUUAAAUACAACUUCCUCGUUUAAGAAAGAUGGUGCUUCAUAGGCAAGUGCACAACCGGCCCCGUUGUGAGAGUUUGAUUCACUCAUUUCCUAUAUUUAUUAGUUCCUUCUACUUUCUACAAAUGUAAUUUUUAUAUCUUGGCCCAUGUACUCACAUUGACAUGGAUUGUAUUGAGAUAAAAAGGUAAAAUUCGUAAAGAAGAUUGGACACAUUAAAUAUAUAAUUUGAUAAAAAUAAUCAUAGCUUUAGCUAGAUCUGAUCAUUAGAUGAUGUUUAAUUUUUUUUAAAUGAUAUUGUAGACCUUAGUGUAUAGGAGGGGCGACCUACUCUAACUAGACAAGUUCAAAAAAAUCCUCAAAUUAGGCCCAAGAAAUAUUGCUUUUGUUAUUUUAAUUAUUUUUUAGUUAUUUUUGAAUUUUAAUUAUUUUUUUCUACUUAACAUUAUAUCCUUUGGUUAGGUUAGUUCUAAACCUCUAUAUAAUUUGUUGAUAUGCUAUUUUUUAAUUUAAUUAUUGAAUUACAAAAAAUUUUAAACAAAAUAUCAAAAUUUUCUCUUUAUUGCUUUACAAUUUGGACUAUAAUAUUAGAACUUAAAAACUCUAAUUUUGAUUCACACUAUAUCACGUUGUCACACAUUAAAUAUAGUUUUCUUUCCUCUUAUGUUGUGAUUCACAGAAACCAUCAUCAAGCUAUACAAAAAUAAGUAGAGUCUAGCAUCGAGGCUUGUGACCCAGAGGUCUUGGCAGGGUUUCCUUAUCUCUGCCUCCUGGAUUCAAGUCUGAGUGUGCACACCUGUCACCCCUGCGGUGCCUUACCUGCCUCCUAGGCUUGCAAGGUGUUCAGUGGAUCCGAGGAUUAGUCAUGGUGCAUGUAAGCUAGCUUGGAUUCCCCGGGUUAUAAAAAAAAACAAGUUAACUAAGAGAUGAUUUGAAAUGUUUAGAGCAAGGUUCCUAAAGACCACAACUAAUGAGAUCUCUAGCUUUUCUUUUGCAUCCUUUAUAAAAUAUUUUACAUAACCCCUACAAAAAAUUGUAAAAUAUAUGAAAACAUCUAGGUAAAAUAUUAUAGCAAUCCAUAUUAAAUUUUUUUCCUUUCAUUUUCACCCUUAAAAUUUUUUUUUCAAUUGCGGUCUUUUAGGAAAAAAACUAAUCACCAAUUUAUUAUAAUUUUUUUAGAAAGUACAAAUUCAACAAAACUAGACCAAAGUAUAGAAUAAGGAGAAAUCUAUGGAAAAUCUAUAAUUUGUUAGAAAACAUUUUGUUUAGUCCACCCAUUUUCUUUUUUUCUUUCUUCACAGUCCCUAUAGUUUUUUUUUAAAUUUUGAUUUUGAUCUAAAAAUUUAUUUUCUUAUUAUUUUAUUCCCUCAAUUUGAGAGAUGAGAAAUAAAGUCGUCUGAAAUCCACAAAGGAGAGAUAAAGUUAUCAUUUUAGCCAUACUUUAGCGACAAAACUGAUCUUGAUGUUAAUGAGAUUCAUUUGAUGAGGGAGGGUUCCAUUAGAGAGUAAAAUUUUUCCUUAUUUGAUUUUGUAUUUUUGGACUAUUUUAGGGUUUUUAGGUUGACAAAUUGAUUUUUUUUUUAUGUUAUAGGGUAUUUAUUAGGUGUUUUAGGUGAAAAUAAAUUUAUUAGAGAAAAAAAACUCUACUCCUAAUUUUGCGGCCACCUCCGUGGUGGUUGGAUUGUUGAAGAGAAACGACAUCUCGUUUUACUUAAUUAUUUUAAAAUAUAUAGAUGGAUGACAUGUCUACAUCUUUGCAUGGAUCGAAAAGAUAGAAAGAAAAGCCCAAGUUUGUGAGCUUAACCUUGAAUUCCAAUGCACAUGGGCUUUUGUUUUAUUAGGUUAGUUACGUUGGGCAACCCUAUACUAGAUGCCCGACCCCAGUUUAUUAAAAAAAAGUUAAAUCUAGAUUAGUUAAAUAAAGUUGUGGGAUACCUGAUUUGGCAGGUAUUUGAUUUUAAUUAAAAUGAUUUAAAAUAAAUUAAUUAAAAAUUAUGAUAUUUUUUAAUAUAAUAUAAUUUAUACUUGAUUUUUUCCUUAGAUUAUAAUUUUUUUCUUAUAUUAGUAGGCAUUCUUUUUAUGUAGCCCUAUAUAAUAUUUUUUUUCCUUUAAUCUUAUUCAAUAAUUUCCCUAUGCAUGUUUAUUUUUAUUAUUUUUUAAUUAAAUAAAGAAUUAAUUUCAAUAAAUAAAGUUAGUAAACUUAUGAGGGUCUAUAGCUCGUAUUACGAGAUCAAAUAUCUUAAUAUAUAUUUAUCUCUAAACUUUCCAGCUUAGUUUUUAGUAAGAGUUAAUAAUUUUUAUUUUCAUACAUUGGUGCAUAUGGUUCUAAAUUUAUUUAAUUAAAUAUAUGAAUUAGUUUUUUCUAUUUGCAAUAAAGUAUUUUCCUUGAUGUCAAAAACAUGCUGGAAACGCCUACAUAUUUAUUUUUUGGCAUUAAAAAAUAUUUUGAUCCUACUCAUGGUUAAGCACGAGUCAACUGACUAGAUUUUAAAAUUAAUUGUUAAAAUUUUAUUUGGAAAUAGAAAAAAACAUUAGUAAUGUGUGUAUUUCCUUCUUUUAAAAAAAUAUGACCUAACCCGUAACAAAACACAAGCAAAACCUAGGAUCUAUCUGGAAUAAGUAUAACAACCUCAUAAGUUAUUAUUGUUCAUUUCAUAUCUCUUAUUAUACCAUAAAAUGCCAAAACUCAUUAGUUAUGAAAAAAAAAAAACUCAUAUCUAUUACCUAUAAAUACACCCUGAUUUACCCUAAUCAAGAGCUUAAAGGGGAAAUAUAGUUAUUAAAAUUGACUUGGAUGUUGAACUAGCACAAGAGUUUGAUUAUGGGUUAGGUAAGUUUACUCGAAUCAAUUAUUUUUUAAAACAAUAACCUUUAAAAUAAUAUCAUAUUAAUUUUUGUUAAGUCAAACUAAAUAUUAACUAAGUAAAUCAAGAUGAGGGUUAACUCUAUAUAUAUAUAUAUAUAUAUAUAUAUAUAUAUAUGUAUGUAAGGUUCCAAAUUGACCCUCCAAGUCACGUCAAGUUUAAUAAAAAAUAAAAAUGGUUGAAAUGGACUCGAAACAACUCUCCUAACAAGAACACCACUACAAGAAUAUACCAUCCAACUAAUGCACUAUUUGCUUUAACAUUUUUUUAUUAAGGAUUGUCGAUAAUGUUUUUUCUCGAUAAUGUUAUGGUUCUACCAAACUUGCAAGAUCUCGAUGAUUAAUGAUACAUAAUUGUCUCCUUUUUUAUUAUUUUUUUUCGUUUAUCAAUGACAAUAUUGUAGCCAAAUUCCAAAGAUUGCAAUUGUCUCAUCGAGAAAGCCACCCUAAUUGCAUCAUAGGGGGAAAAUGGCUCAGUUGGUUAAUUAUUAUUAGUUUUGCACAUAUUAUUAAUAAUAUUACCAUUUUCUGGUGUCAAAAUCAAAUCUUAAUUAGAAGUGACUAAUUUUAUUUAAUAUUAAUUGAUCCAUAUAUUUUUAUAUAUUUAACGUAUUUUUUCAUAUAUCAUUUUAAAAUUCUUCACUCUCAUAAGCCUUAAAUAUUCACAUUAUCUCAUAUGUACUUUUGUUACUUUUUGGACAAAAUAUCUCUACAAUCAUAAAAAUAAUAAUUAAGAACCAAAAAAAUGAAAAGUGAAUUAAAAAAAUAAAAAGAAAGCUUUAAAAGCCAUGAAAAAAUUAAAAACAUAAAAAUAUUUAAAAACUGAAAAAUAUGAAAACCCAUUAAAAAAACAAAACUAAAUUUUAGAAAUAUGAAAAAGAAAAUAAAAAUCAUAUCCAAAAAACUUCAUAAAUAUAUAAAUUAAUAUGUCUCUGAAAAUUAAAUAAUUUUUUUCUAGAUGUAGAUUUUUCAAAAUCCAAUGUUUUUAAAUAUAUUUUAUGGGUUAUUUCAAUUUUUUAUGGACGUUCCAAGUUUUACAUUCCCAGUUUUUUUUUUAAAAUCAAUUUUAAUUUUUAGUGGUUUACAAGUAUUUAAAAAUGAAUUUUUUUAUGUUUUGGAAAUUAUGUUUUCUUUUUUCUAUGUUCUAAGGGGCACUUUGGUCCAAAUUAUGGCAAAAGGUAUAGGGAAUAAAAUAUAAAUAUACAAGAACAUAUGAAAAUGAAAAAUAAUUAAGUAUAUGAAAAAAUGCUUUAAAUAUACAAGGAUAGAUGGAUUCAAAAUCCCUUUUUAUUUAUUUUCAUUCAAAUGUUCUUAUGAAAACCACCGGCGCCUGAUUUCUUCAUAAGUAGUUUUCCUUCUAAUAAGUACUCCUAACAGUAACAAUUAAUGCACGUGACAUUUCCAUAUUUUAAAGAAAUUUGUUGAAGAGGGUGGCGCCGCAAUCUCUGUUUAAAGUGCAGAGCCGCAAUCGCAGCAGUCAAAACUCAUUCACUUUUGUGUUUCUCUUGCUGUCUGCAUUUGUUGCUAUUUGCCAAGCUUCCUUCCUUCCUUCCACGGAACAAGUAGCCAUACAACACGUGUCCUAUUUAAAAAUAUAUGGUCCUUGUAUCCAUGCGUGGAAUCCUCGGUACGUAUUGAAGAUUUCAUGCGUGAGGCCGCUAUUUCUACGUUGACCUAUUGUCAACAGGUCGGUUGGGGCUGAGCUGGCGGCGUUUGUUUUCCUAAGUAUCUUUACCGUGGUUUUAAAUGUCAGCAGUUACUUUUAACAUCUGUUAUGUUGGUAACAUGAUUAUUUUUUUAAUACUAAGUUAUGUGUUGCACUUUCGGACAUCACAAAAAUCGUCGAAUCCUCCGUACAUAUUGAAAAUUCCAUACGUGAGGCCGCUAUUUCUACAUUGACCCAUCAACAGGUCGGUCGGGCUGGGCUAGCGACGUUUGUUAUCCUAACUAUCUUUACCAUGGUUUUAAAUAUCAACAGUUUUUUUUUUAAUAUUAUUAACGUGGGUGUCCAGACCAGCUUGCGCGUCUCGACUAAUCCCACAGGUCCUGAAAUUAAUAACCAUGUAAGCUUCCAGUGGCCAUCAUAUUAGCAAUUACAUGACUCGAACUUGAGACCACAUGAAAAACAAACCUCUUAAUCUCAAACUCUAACCACUGGACCUCCUACUAAAUGGUUAAUAUCAGCAGUUACCAUCUGCUAUGUUGGUAAUCGACUGGACAUGAUUAUUUUUUUAUAUAAAGCUAUCUGUUGCACUUUUAGAUAACAUAAAUAUUAAUUUUUGUCAUUUUCAAAACUAUUUCAGUGAAGAGAUUUUUAUCCACUAAAAGGGAGGAGGACAAGUGAUGUAUCAGUAUAUUUUUAAUAGGUUUGCUUUUAAAAGCCUAUGAUUAAAAGGGUCAAAUACAAAGUAAUAACCCAACAUAUCUAGGCUUGACAAAACUUCAAACCUAGAUGACAUGGGUCUCAUAAGAUGCCAGACCUAAUAGUUUUGCGUUUCGCUGCAUGCAAAACUCAAGCGCAAAUGGGUCUGACAAGGAACCAGAUCCAUCACCCUUGGGUUUUGAAUAAUUCAAAAUCAAAUACAUAUAGAGCUAAUAAUAUUUUUAGGCCCCGUCUUGGAUCACGAGGAUUUGUUGUUUAUUCUUAUGUCUUUUAACAAAAAAUAUUAGAAGUCAAUAAUGAUCAUCUCCCUACAUUUCUAGGUGUUUAAAAGUCUCUAAAUGAUCUAUUAUAUUUCCAUCAACAUUAAUUUUAUGUAAGAGAUAUUUAUCUCUCAUUAAUGUUAUGUAAGAGAUACUUAUCACUUAUUAAUAUUAUUAGGAGGAAAUGACAUUUCAACUCCUCCAUUUAAGCAACGUGACGAAGUUCAAAGACUUUAUAUACCUUCAUAACCACAUAAGGGUUCAUACUUUUUCUAUUCUCUAUUCAUACUCUUAAUUUACAGAGCAUUUGUCAUACAUAACUAAAAACAAACACUCUUAUUCUUAAGAAUUUUAAAGCUCAUUCUCUUAUUUAUUGUAAUCACUUAUUAAAAAUCAAUGAAUAUAUCAUUAGAGAGUCCUUAAAUCUCAUAAAAGAACUGUUUUGUAGGUGUUGGGUCUUCUAUCACCAAUCAUCCAUUUCUUGAACUUUAGAGAAGGGAACAUUAACAUGAACGUAUGAUCACCCUCUAUCCGAACACUAAAAAACCCUCAUUUCUGAGCAUAUUGAAUUUUGAAACAUUAUCAAUAAGUUUGUCCAAUUAUCUGCACAAGAGUUAACCUAGAUCAACAAAAAGAUAAAAGUGAUUAUUAUCAUUAGCAAUGAUAAUUUAACUUGAACCCGAUGGAUACCGACCCGACUCAAAUGAGUGAGUAUUUUUUGGACUCGAGGGAUAAUGAGUAGGGUAUGGAUAUUGUAAAACCCGAUCUGAAACCCGCUUAAACCUAACCCAAAAUAUAUAAUUAUAUUAUAUAAAUUUAUUUGUGGAAUAUUUAGAUGUUUUAAUAUAAUAUGAUAUAUACAUGGACACCCCCUCUGUGAGGUGGCAUCGCACUUGAUGAGCGUGCUUCGAGAAAGGGUACCUAUGCCUCAAACAUGUAUUCAUGGUCAGUACCUAGUGACUCAUGGUCAUCACAAGAGCUACUAGAAGAACUAGCAGCACUCCUAUAUGUAUUAUACACUAAUUAAUUUUUUCUUGUCAUCUAUACAAAUUAAAGGAUUAAAAAAAGUAAUAACAUUCCUAUUUAAAAAAAUUCGGCAGCACCUAAUUUAUACAAGAGACUACCUAAAAUUAUAUUACCUGCAAAUACGCAUUAACAAAUAAAGCCAAAAACCAAUUUAUUUUAUUUACGAUAAGUCCUUGUUCAUAUCUCUCUAUUUAGUGAUUGAGAAAGAGAGAAGAGAGGAAGAAAAUAUAGAGAGAGUGUGAGAAAAGAAAGUAUAAAGAGAAUAGAGGAAGAAAGAGGAAAAAGAUGUUGUUUUUCUUCUAAAGUUAGGGAUUCUGGUAUUUUAAUUAAGUCUUUUUAUCGAUGGAAUUACUAAUGAAAAAUUUAAAAAUUAUUAAUUUUUAAAUUCCAUCGUUAAGUUUGUCUAUAAUUAAAAAUUAAAAUUUUCAAUUAAACCCGAAACUUUUUAGAAUGUAAUUUUCAAACCCCCCCAACCCAAAAUGAACCAAUAAAAUUUUAGUUUGUCGGUGAUUCCUAUAAUGGUUAGUAGUAUAGUCGUGUAAUUUUUCUCCAACUCUCUAGAACUUACUGACAUAAUUAGUUCAUUAGUGGUUUUGUUUAUAAUGGUUAGUGACAUGGUCAUGUAAUUUUUAUCCAACUCUCUGGAACUUUUUGAUGGAAUUAGUUAGUUAGUGAUUCUGUUUGUAAUGUUAGUGGCAUAGUUAUGUAAUUUUUUUUUAUCAAACUCUUUGGAACUUUUCGAUGGAAUUAGUAUGUCAGUAAUUUUAUCUAUAAUUUAUAACCGCUGAUGAUUCCAUUGGUAUCAUCAGUUUCUUUUUCCCCAGUAUUUUUGUAUUUCAUAUUUAUCCAGCUUGUAAAAAUAGUGAAAUCACAAUACAAUAACAUCAUUUUUGUUUAUAAUAAUAAAAUCACAAAAAUAAAUGUUUCAUUCACAUCAUUGUAAAAGGACAACUAGAAAUAUUAUGUUAAAGUCAAUUUUAUUACACAUUGAUGUUUUAAAAAUUAAUCAGAAUUUUCUUCUUCUUCUUCUUCUUCUUCUUCUUCUUCUUCAAUUUCAUCAUCAUCAUAUCUACCAUAACCUCUUAUAUUUAAUUGUUGCUCCUCGAUAUCAUCAUCUUUUUUUUUACUUCUGUAUAUACACUAGUUCUUAAUAUAUCAUUUAACUCCUCAACAUCAACAUCAACAAAAGUAUUCUGAGCAAUGUGAAAAUUUAAAUUUUCUUCUAAGUUAGUAAACGUAACAACUCGAUAUGGAUCAACUAACUCAACAAGUUGAAAGACAUUAUAUCCCACAGUUACUUCAUCGUUACCAUCAUAAACAACUUGAACACGACCCCUAAGUUUGGUUUUCACUUUGGAUAAGCAAUAAACCUUAGAACGAUCCUUUCUAAAAGAAUGAGUGUAUUUGCAAUAAACUUGUUAGCAUUGAUUGGUGAAAACGAAGACAUAUUUGAUGUUAUGAAGUCUAGCAUUUGUAUUAAUUUUGACUAAACCAUGAUGGAGAUUUACCUUGAUUCCUCUAUCAGUGGUAUCAUACUAAUAGCAUUUAAAUAAAAAGACUUUAUUCUUCUCACUAUGAUAUUGUAAUUUAAUCACCUCUUCUAACUUCUUAUAAUAAUCAACUUUAAACUCAUUGGAAAUUGAUUCAUUAACAUAAACUCCACUAUUAUAUGUCUUUCUAUCAUGACCAUAUUCUUCAAUAUGAAAUACAUAUUUAUUGAUAAAAUACUUGUCGUAGCACUUUACCUUUAUUUCAAGACCUAAACAUAGUAAAUUUAAACUAUCAUUAGCAUUCCAUUCCAAUUAAUUAACCUGAUAUAUAAUUACAACCAUUAACAAUUAUAUAAAAAGGUGUCAUGAAAUUAAGUAUUAUAAAAGAUAAGCAUUGUUAAGCAGUGCUUACAUGUGUUCUGAACCACGUGACAAAUUAUUUAUCUUGUAAUUAAAAAUUUUGAGAUAGUAAAAAUUGAUGAUGUUGCCUACGAGAAAUUAUUCAAUUUAUUAGUUUAUGAGAGUAUGAGAGAAAGAUUGUUUGAAAAUAACAUGUUAAUUACUAUACUUAUUGAAUAAAAAGUCUCAAUUCAUCAUAAUUAAACAACAUGUAAUUAUAUGUAGUCUAAAUUUGAUUUCUAUCAAGUAUCCUCUCCUCACUGUAUUUCUUGAUAAAGGUCAUCAAAGAUGGAAAAAUAUUGAUAAAUUCCCACUCCAAGGCACUUUCCCCUCGCAUAUUGAAGCCUCAACAUAGACUUUAUUUUUAACUUUUUUUCUUAAGGUUGAACAAGUAUCUGCAUGGAAUUAAAUGAAUGUUUUAAUUUUUUUUUAAAGAUAACAAAAAUUUAAUUAGGAUGCAUGUGUAAUCCCUAACAUCUCGAAUGGAUACAUCCAUCUAUACUGGACAAAGCUCAAACUUUUGCCUUAAACGGUAAAUAUAUGGGUAGAUACUCGAUUGAAUCGAAGAAAGAUGAAGGAAAUAUGAUCUCAAGUUUAUAGAUUGCCUGUAUGAUAUUUGUUUCAAGCUCCUCCAUAUGUUGGGUAUGCAAGUUUUUAUGGUGAUAAAAUAAAGGUAUAUUUAACUCAAUAUUCUUAUUGUGACAAAAUAAUGGUAUAUUAAUUCUAGCUUUCAUGUUGUCCUCUGUCUUUCCUUUCACGUUCAUCAUUGUGUUAAAAAUAUUUUCUAACAUAUGUUUUUGUUAUAUUCAUAACAUCCAGAUUAUGACAGAAGAGAUUAGUCUUCCAGUAAGGAAACUCCCAAAAAAUACUUUUUACCUAAUUUUAGGUCACACCAAAACCAAAGCCUCAUACACAUUUCUAAUGGCAAGUUGUAAAUCGUGAAUAUCACCGGCCAACAAGAAAAAGGUGCAACAAAUGACUCGAAUGAAUUGGAUUCGCCUAUACAUAACCCAAGACUUAUAUUAUGUGAUUCCAUUAAAAAAUAAGGAUGCACCCUAUUAAACUGCUUCCAUGCUUCACCAUCGGAAGGGUGCACCAUAACUCCAUCCAUUGUAUGUGAAUGAUGUCAUGUCAUGUGCUCAACAAUCUUCAGAGACAUGAAUAACCUUUGUAGUCCAGGAGUGAUUGAGAAGUAUCUAAGUUUUUUUUAUAUACGAUAAGGGUCUUUCCCCUACCAGUUAUAGUUUUAGACCAAGCAUGACCACAGGUUCUGUACUCAAUCAAAUCUGUAUUUUCAAGGUAGUGCAACAUGUAAAAGUUUGGACAAAUGUAUUUUCUUGUAUCCUAGGCCAAAGGGUUUUAUCAUGGAUUUAGCAAUACAAAAGUUCUCUUUCAGCAUAUUCUCGUUCAGGUAAAAUAUUUUUCGCCCAUUCGAUGAUUUUUUCAUAACUGGCCUUACUAAGCUCAUGAUCUGACUUGAUGAUGAAUACAUGUGCAACAACCAAUAAUUUACUGUGAUUUUUGCACCUGUCCUACAAUGAUUUGUCAGAAUCUUUCAAAAGAUCAAAUAAUCAGGUCGUGUCUGCAUUUUUUCUUCAUCUAUGAUUGAAUAUUCACUUGUAUAACCCUGAUUCAUUCUCAUCACAUCUAUAACCAUACUCUUAUAAGGAUUACUAUUAUCAUCUACAACUCAAUGCACGUUGCUAGAACUAGAAGUUGACUCAACCAUCCUUUUUAUCAUGGUCUCAUAAGGGAUAUACAGUUCACUAGGUGUAAACAAACGCAAGUAUUUCUCUAUAAAUGUUUUUUUAUAGAAGAUGUGUCGUAACAACAUUUGGAUCAAAAAACUUUUUAUUCUUACACCUCUCACAUGGACAUCUAAUAUUGUCUCCACUAAUAUUUUUUAGAUUAGAUAGUGUGUAAUUAAUAAAACCCUCAACCCCAUUAUAAUAAUUUAUUUUGUGCAACCCCUCGAGUGAAACUUGGUACAUCCAAGAAUGAUCAUUCAUUACUUAUAUAAAACCUAUAUAGAAUAUUGAUGACAACAUGUAUUAAUUAAUUAUGGGAACUAAACAAAUUAUCGGUCCCCAACUAAUUAGCUAUCAUUGGUUUAACUCAAACUUAUUCAAUCUAUUUUAAUAGUAACCUUAAAUCAUUAUCACUUUUCUACAAAAAAAUCAAAUUCCUCCACAUUUACCAAAAUUUUGAACUUAACAAUAAAAUUGAAAAACAAUAUGAAACGUACCUAUUAAAUAAGUCAUGAUUUAUUUCAUUACAAAACACCCAAGUCAUAAAAAUCAAACUCAAUUUCAUCAAAUUACAAACAAUUAUAAUUUUUCAAAAUCUCAAAUAAACCCUAACAUGUACAAAUCAUAUAUUCAUACAAUACAUUUUUAUGAGAAAAAGCUAUAAAACAAGUAAACACAUAAACAAACUACAUAUACUACAUCAAAUACAAAAUUUUUUUUACAAAAUGAGUUAAAAAAAUGAGUAGUUUUGCUUACUUGAUGUGGGGAAUCUAUUGAUCUAGAACAUGGAUAUUGGGGUGACCAAAUUUGUGAUGAUGUGAGCUUGAUUUGUUAUAAAAUAGGGGGGUUGUUGUUUGCUAUUUUUUUUGCAGAAAAAAAUGGAAGAAGAAGAAGAUAUUGGGGAGGAAGAGAGGGGUCGAUUACAAGAUUAUAACUUAAAAACUACCGAUAGAGCAAAAAAAAAUUUUCAUCAGUAAUAUCAUUUGUAAUAAUAACAUAUCCCCGCCUUCUUUUCUCGUUCCUUCAUUUCCAACUGUGAUUCUGUUGGUAUACACCGAUGUCGCACCCGACAUCGCGGCUGCCUUAAAAAUUUAUUAAAUCUUUGGAAAGAACGGAUUUCUGGCAUCUUGUUCUUUAAUGGAGAAUGGUCUUGUUUAAGGAGUCGCCACCUAGUAUUAUGGUCACUAGGAACCCUAACUAGUCAAUAGAGAUUCUAUGGUUCGGGACUGGUUACGUAAAAGGGAAGAUAUUAUUACCCCCUAAACGUCCUGCCUGAGGCAGGCUGCAUUGCUAGUUUCAUCUUAAAUUGCUAAAUGUUUAUUAAUUUAUGCUAUGAAAAUUUGCUUAUAAUAUUCCUAACUCUGGCGCCAGUGAAUAUUCAACUACGGAUAUUUUCAACUCUGGCGUUGGUAAAUAUUACGUAGCUAUAAAAUAAAUUAGAUCAAUAUUUUUUUAUUCUCGACUCUAGCACCAGUGAAUAAAUAAAUAAUAAUAAAUUUAUUUUUAUGCAUGCACAUAUUUUUUAUUUUUUAGCUAAAUAAAAUAAAAUACAACGAAUAAAAAUAAUAUAAAUUUAAACCGGUAUUUUUAUUCCUGACUCUGACGUCAGUGAAUAAACCAAUAAAUUUAAAUUAUUUUUAUUCAUCUAAAUAAAAUAAAAUACAACGAAUAAAAAUAAUAUAAAUUUAAACCGGUAUUUUUAUUCCUGACUCUGGCGUCAGUGAAUAAACCAAUAAAUUUAUAUUAUUUUUAUUCAUGCAAUCACAUUUUUUUAUUUAUUAUUUCUUUCUAUCUUUUUUAUUUUUCUGUUUUUUAUUUUUUUUGGGCUGGGCUGGGCUUGACCCAGUUGACUCAGUCGGGUCACUGGUCUAGACCAGUGACCCGGACGGAUGGCAGGCGUGCGCAACGCACGCCUGCCCAGUGAAUUAUAAUUCACUGCUACUGUAGCAGUGAAUUAAAAUGCAAAAGAAACGGGGCUUACCUCAAUGCAGGAACAGAGAUGAUAACUGAAGCGUGGUGGUCGUCUGUUCUCUUCUCCUCUGCUUUACUAUGCCUUUGAUUCUCGUUUUCCUUUGCUUUCUCUCCUGGUUCUGGAAACGCUGAAGGCAGUAGCAGCGAUCUCGUGACUUUCCUCUGCUCGUGUUCUUUCCUUCUGCUGUUUUUCUUUGUUUGCGUUUUGUCUCCUCUGUUUUGAGAUGAAGGAAACUAGACAAUGGUGAUGCCGGUUGUCAAUAGUCCUUGGUUCUUCGUUGUUCUUUUUAUGCAGGGAGGAAGACAAAUAUAGCAGGGCUGAUCUAUGACCCUCCUGUGCCUUUCUCUCCUUCUCGGUGUAAUCUCCGUUUAUUCUACUGCCCCUGCUUUCCCCUGGUUUUUUUCGUCUCUGUUUUGGGUUGAUGUUUUCGUUCUUCUCUGUAUUUUUUUUUGGGUUGUGUUUUGUGUGCUCUGCUUUUCUGGGUUGAUUGCUCUGUUUCUCUGGGUCUUUUUGGUUUUCUGGGUUUUAUUUUUCUUCCCCCCGUCGCUGUGUUUUUUUUCUCUGUUUCUCCUCCGAUUUUUUUCCUCUUUUUUGUUCUGGGUUUUCUUCUCCCUUUUAUAGAGAAACUUGCCCCUCAACCAGUCCUGCCUUUGCAGGACUGUUAUUCAAAUUACGAACGGGAUCAUGGGCAAGAGACGUGGUCCACGAUUUGCUGCAGAUUUCCUGUUGAAUCGGCUUCAUCCGCGCAAACGUAGGAGACGAUGAACAAUGCUUCCAAAACGGUGCCGUUGUGUCCUCGGGCAUGGCUGUUUUUCAAUUUAGUCCCUAAACAGUUUAAACUUAACAAUUGGGAUCCUAAUCAGAAACAAUUGAUUUCUAAUUGUGCCCUUGGAUUAAAUUCAAUUGAAUCCUUGAAUUAUAACACUGUUUACAAAACAGUCCUUAAUUUCCGGAUUGUUCAAUUUAGCCCUUAAUUAAAUCUUUAACUUUUAAUUUUUUCAAAAUUGAUCAAUUAACUCUCAAAUUACAUCCCCAAACUUCAAAUUUUGUUGUCUUAACCCCAUUGUCAACUAUAUUUAAAUUUUUAUUAUUAUUUGUUCAAAAAUUGGGUUAUGACAACCGACAUAAACUUUCCAUUGAUAAAUGUCACUGUAAUAUACCGACGAAAUAAAUUUUGUUGGUAUUGUCGUUUGUAUUUGCUAAAUUUCUAAUAGUGAAAUAAAUAUUAUGAUGUUUGUUUGAGACUGUGAUAACUUCAUGGAAAGUAAAUUGAGAUAAAUUAUUAUAAUUAAUUCAAAAUUAACAAAAUAUUGAAUGAUGAAAUGGAAAAAAAAUAGCAUUUAAUUAAAAAAAAUUAAAAAGAAAAAGAAGAAGAAGAAAGGGCCACCUCCUUCAUUGUUCAUGGAGGUGGGGAAAUCCAAAGUUUUUUAAUAUAAUAAUUUGAUAUUAUUAUUUGAGAUAGAACUUCUUUUUUGGAACAAUAUAAUAUAGUAUUUUUAAUUUGAUCAUCACAUAAUUGAUAUUUUAAUCUUUUCGAGUAAAUUGUUUCAUGAAAAAAGUUUUUAACCAAUAAUUCAUAUGUUACACCAUGGAUAGGUUAGCGAAUUCCACACUCCUCGAUGAGUCAAACUUACUGAGUUGUUCUCAAGCUUCAAUCCCACAACAUUUUCGAUGAUUCCAUAAUGGCAUUAAAGAAUUAAAUAUUCCUUGACUAUCCAAUAACUCUCAUCCCAAGGUUUACAGUUAUCUUCCCCACUUGCACAACUUUAAUUACUUUACACAGAGAAAUAAGCUACAACAUCAAUUUUAAAAUACAAACUAGACAUCAAUAAAAAAAAAUAAAAAUUCCUAGAGUCUCUAUUAUGAACCGAAAGUAGUUUCAAUGCGUGUUACAAUAAUAAAACGAUACUUUUACCCCAUACAUUUACUUUAAUAUCCUUAUAACUAGGGGUAUUUUAAGUAAUUUCCAUAUAAAUUUUCCAAAAAUAUCAUUUAGAAAAAUAAAAUUUAAGGUAUCUAUAAAUAAAAAAUAUAGCCACCACAUCAAAGACAAUUAUAUAAGCAAAAAAAACAAAAAGAAAAGAAAAAAGGAGAGAUGAAAGACCAAGCAUAAAUACUUGGAAGUUAUCUCAAAGAAAUUCAAGUCCAUCAAGGAAGCAAAAUAUUAAAGUCAUUUCCUUCAUCAAAUCAAAUUAAGAAAACAAAAUAUUAAAGUCUUUUCCUUUGUAAAAUCAAAUCAAGUAACAUAUUAUAUGGUUAAAACUUUCGUGCUAGUGUGAAUACUCUUCAUCUUCAUCAAAACUAAUUAAGAUUUCACAUAAUUAAAGCUUUUGGACUCGUGUGAAUAUCUUUCCAUCCAAAACAAGAUCCAAAUAUGACAAUUAAUUAGAUGAUUCAUAUACGUGAAGAGCAAGAUCCCACUUUGUUUAAUUGAAAUUUUUUUAAUUUUUUAUUUGCUUCAAAUUAAUAUUUUUUUGGUGUUUUUAUAUUGUUUUGAUGUGCUAAUGUUAAAAAUGAUUUUUUUAAAAAAAAUAAAAUAUUAUUUUAAUAUAAAUUAAGAAAACAAAAUAUUAAAGUCUUUUCCUUUGUAAAAUCAAAUCAAGUAACAUAUUAUAUGGUUAAAACUUUCGUGCUAGUGUGAAUACUCUUCAUCUUCAUCAAAACUAAUUAAGAUUUCACAUAAUUAAAACUUAUAGAUAAACUUCAAUCUGUCUUCAGAUAAUAUAUUAUUUUAGAUAAAAUAAUAAAACCAAAACUAAGCUUCCAGUACAAAUUAAUAUUUUUUGUACACGAUCCAAAUCAAAUUAAUAAAACUAUGCUUCCAGUACAAAUUAAUCUCUUCACGUAAAAGAUCCAAAUAUGACCAUUAAAGAUAUGAUUCAUGUACGUUUCCUAAAAUCAAAUAGCCAAACCUAUCCCAUAAAAUAAAAUAAAGAAACUUACCUUUUUGUUUAAAUGCAAUAACCUUAUUUACAGAAAUUUAAAUCCCAAUUUCAAUACAAUAUUAACUGUCAAUUAUUGUAUAAAGACUACUAAAUUCUUUUAAACUUCUUGAUUGAUUUGAACAUACACCAAUUUUCACUUCCAUGGAUCACUAAGAAGGAUUAAAGAAAACAUGAUCAUAUCCUAAAAACACCUCUUAUAACUCCCAAGAUUAUGUCUGCCACAUCUUGUCCAAAUUGAAUAGGCAUGCUUGAGCUCAAAUCCAUCUCAACUGCUCUACUCUUUAUCAUUCGAUCUCUUUUCUCCAGUUGAUCCCUCUCAUUUUCCUCAAUAGUAGCCGUUCCUCCUUUACAAACACAACUAUCCAUCCAUAGUUCAAGAACCUCAUUAGCUAUGGGAUCAAUAUUGUCGCGAAUAAUUUCUUCAGCACGCUCCGUCGUUCCACCGUCCUCACAUGUUAUGCUAACCAAAAUCCCUGUGGGAGAAACAACAUUUCGAAAGUAGAGGGAAGACGAGAAGUAGGGUUUGGCUUCAAGGACUUGUGUGUCAAGUUGUUUCCUAAGUGCUUCGAGUUGAGAAUCUUCAUAAAAAGUGUUGAGGUAAUCUGGGUGGAGGACGAUGUCUUUCCUUGGAAUUAAAUCAAGAAAGAAGAUGAAGUAUGUUGGGCUGCAUUGGACCAGCUCGAAUUGAAAAUGUGGUGUAUCUGUUGAGGAUUUGAGAUAGCCUUUAAUGUUAGUGAUGUUCAUUGCUCCUCCGUUUGGUAAGGACAAGUGUAGCCAACUCGACAAUAUGAAAUCAAUCUGGUUUCAUAAAAAAAAAAUUAAUCAUUAGUUUUUUUAAUAUUAUAUAAUUAUUAUAUUUCCUUUUAUUUAUACCCCAUCGGAUCAGAAUAGGUCAGGUUUCAAUUGAUUUAAGUUAAACCGGUUGAAUGAUAUCAAAUUCUAGAGGGAGGGGAGGGUUUUUUCUUUUCUUUUUUUCGUUUUUAAUAUUAUGGUUGUUAUACUUUUUAAUGGUUACUUUCCCUAGCAGUUUAUGUAUAGAUUGCCAGCAAAGUCAAUUACAAGAUACUGAGCGAUAUACACCUAUAUAUAAUUCAGGCAACUUAAUAGAGGAGCACAUCCUAUGUGUAAAAAUUAUCAUAUUCAUACUCCUAUAUAUAAUAUAAUUCAUCCAAAAAAAAUAUCGUAAUUGCUGGUAGUUUUUUUUUCAAAUUGUUAAUAUUUGUCCCCGUUUAAUCUGUAGGAAGAUCAAAAAAAGUUAUUUCUUAGAAAACCAUAUACGCUUCAAGUAAGUGUGUGUGAGAGAGAGAGAGAGAGAGUACAGGAGAGGAAUCGACUCCACGGUUGAUGCAAAGAGAACCUUGAGAAGCACCGCUCUGGUUCUGAUAGUAUUCAGCAUCAGGAGGGACUGAGGCGAAGGAGAUGACCAUGAAGGCGUUUAUCCACGGCUGAGAUUAGACCCACCAUUAAAUCUUUGUGAGGAGCCAAGAGAUGAGGAAACUCCAUUAACCUCUGCCCUCUCAUCGGCUCUUCCAUCUCAAAUGGUGUGGUCGAUAAGGCAAGUAUUGAGUUUCUGAUCUUUCUGGUGGAUAUUUUCUUCAAUGGUAGAGCUGAGAAUGAAUUUAGAUAAACAUGUUGAUGUGGGCAAAGCGGGAGGGUCAUUGUUUCUCUCGUACUAUGCCCUUCAAGCAACGUAAAGUCUACGUUGGAAUAAGAUCCACAUAAAAUAUUAUUCUUCCAUCAACAACAGAAUUUGUCAGCUCGUCGAAGACAAAUAUUAUUCUUCCAUCAACAACAGCCACAGAAAAUGAGUCACUUUCAACUAUUUUGCGAAUUUCAAACUUGAACAUUGACUAUAAUGGGCUGAUUAACUCAGUCCACUGACUGCAAUGAUUUUAUGGAGUUGCUUGACAUUUCUUCAAGCUUAACUCAGUUCACCAUUGUCCUUUUCUUAUUCAAACGAAAAUGACAAAUCGGGCCUUUAAAUUGUUUUUAACAUUUUCAUUACCUCUAGCCCUUCAAAAGCAUUCAAGUGCAGUUUUCAAUGUCUUUUACUCUAUUAGUUUUUUGUAUGGAUCUAUCCACUCGAUAAGCAAUUUUCAGCCACUAGAAAUCAACCUACAACUCUGGCACUAAUGAAUAUUUCAUUCAUCUUAUUUUUCUUGAACAUUAAAGGGUAAGGUUGAACCACGACCGAUCAAAUCAUGUGAGAUUUUGAGUGAUUUUGGAUGAAAUGUGAGAAAAUGUAAGAGAAGAAGAAAAAAUCAUUAUUUUCUUCCUAUUGCGUUACAUUCUGUUCUACCAAAUGUACACUGCAAUUAAAAGAUGUUUUUUGCAGGUUGCAUCAAAGUUUCUGCAUGUGAAAUGGAGGUAAAACUAUACUAAAUUGCUAAUGCAUACCAUUCCUUUUUAUUUUUCUUCUGUAGAUCCAUAGCAUAAGGAUAAUAUUCAAUCUUGAUUCUCAAGCGGGAUCAACCUCAGAAGUCAGAUGUUAUAAACCUUUUGUAUGGCUCCUAAUACUCUAUCGGUGACUUCUGGACCAAACAAUCUUGGAAAGUUUGUGCCUAGAUCAAUCUCAAUAGUUUUUUUCUUUAUUAGCUCAUCUCGCUUCAUCAUAUAAGCCUUCUCUUCCUCUCCCACCAAUCUUUCUCCACGAGCGCAAUGAUCCAACCAAAUCCCUAAAACUUCCUGGGCAGUAGGAUCUAUGUGAUUUUUUACUAUCUCCUCCAUUCGUUCUGGUCCACCCGCUUGAGCUCCUAUUUGAAUCAUAACGACUGUAGGCGAGAGGACAGAACGGAGAUAAAGGGAUGAAGAGACGUAGGGUUGAACCUCAGGGAGUUUCGCAAGCAUCUGCCUAUGAGUGUCUAACUGGGUGUUCUCAUAGAAAGUUUGAAGAUAGUCUGGAGAAAGGACGGGGUCCUUCCGUGGAGGCAAGUCAAGAAUGAAGACCAGUGAUGUUGGACUACUCUGGAUUAGCUCAAUCAUGAAAUUUGGUGCAUCUGUUGAAGGGUUCAGAUAGGCAGAUAGGCUAGUUAUGUUCAAUGCUCCGCCGGUAGGUAGCUUACAGUGCAGCCAACUUCCCAAUAUGAAAUCCACCUGAAAAAUGUCCAGCUUUCAAUUAGAUUUUUUUCUAUAAAUUUUAAUACAAUUUUGAGAGGUUGAGAAACAAAAAUAACUAAAUCAGAUUGAUAACAAUAGUGCAAAUCCAGGCAAGUACUAUGAUUUGCAGCUUGUUUCAUUUGAAGCCAAUUACAAUAUAGGAUUCCAUGGGGCAUGAUGCCAUAACCAAAGAAAGACUAUACAUGAAAAGGCUGCAAAUUCAACUUCGACAUAAGACUUCAAUCCUCAUAACUAAGUAAGAAGGUUCAGUACUUAGCUGCUACAAAUAAAUUAUGUCUCAGUAAUUUUGAAAUUAGCAUUCGAUAAAGAAGCCAGGACUUUGAUUACACAAAAACUAAUGAAAGCAUACACAUGACUGCAUUAGCUUUUUGUUAUUGUAAUUUCCCAUAUUAUAUUUGUUGAAUAAUAAGUAUAAAGCCAUCCCUCUCCCGCAAAUUAGUUAAGGGUUAUUCCAGGUUCCUCAUGCAUUACUCAGUUACGGAAUCAAACCAAGCUUUUCAUGCGAUUCCAAGACCUAGUACAGCAAACUGAACCAAAAUCUGAUAAGCACUAUACCAGCUAUACAAAGCAUUAACAGACAUAUUAUUAUGUGAUCCAACUGAGUGCAAAACUGUCCCCAAUUAAGAGGGAAAUAGCCCAAUUCUAAAUUUUUUCUUGUGGGAUGCAUGCCAAAACUGCUAGUUUCCAAGAAAUUAGCCAAGCACAAUAUAUAGGGUCCAUCAAAAUGUAAGAUGGAAACUAAUCUACAAAGCAAACACAGAUUAAGCAUAUCUAAAUGGAUUAAUUAAUUAAGUCUGAUUGCAGCUACCAAGACAAUCUACCUUCUAAAUAAUUAGCGUUGAUAAAUACUAAUCGGUAAGACUACUAGUCAUAGCAACAAGCACUGGCUUAGAACUUUAGAAUUAUCGGUGGCGCAUGAGCAAAUAACAAAUAAAACAACGAACCAAUUCAAAGUUUCAAACUGUGCUACAAGAAGUGAGAUGGAGGAAAUUACCUGGGAAGACUGAAGACCUGAUCUGAUAUGAAGUGAAGCUUGGGCGCUCCCACUUUCGUUCUGGCAGUGUUGUACGUCAAGGGGAAGUGUACAAGGGAGGAGGUGUGAGCCAAGUCGAUCCUCCACCGUUGAUAAGAGAUUAACCAUGAGAUCCCUGUGUGGGGCAGAGACAAAUGGGAAUUCUAUGAAUUUCUGACGUCCCUGGUUGUGGAGAUCCAUUUGGGACGCAGAUGAAGAUGAGGAGGAGGAGGAGGAGAGUGAUGCAGUGGCUGAGAUUUUUGUUCUUGAGGAUUUGAGGGGAGGAGGAGAUGGUAACGAGUGUGGUAAGUGUAAAAUUGGAGAGAAGCUGACAGCCAUUGGUUUAGAUUUUGGAUUUACAAAUUUGAAUCACUAAUAUUUUGGUUAACUGCUUUAGUUCCCAACUUGUCAUGACAAGGAAAUCUCUACAAUGUUUUUAUUAUUAUUAUUAUUCUAUUUUCUUAAAACGUUUGAUGACCAGAAAAUCAUGAUCCAAAUUUUAAAAUCCUUAAACCUAAAUUUUAAUUUUUUUUAACCUAAAAACACAUUAGAUAGAUCUCUAAAACCCUAUUUCUAACCAUAAAACACAUUUUAAUUAACAUAAAAACUCAAAAUUAAAUCAAAUUAAAAAAAUUAGUGUGCUCUUAUUUAUUUUUUUGAACAUUGUUAAAGGUAGAAACAACAUUCAUUGAAUUGUUCUUUAAAGAUAAAUCUAUAGACACCAACACUAUAGUUAUUAGCGGCUAAAAAUUGGUUACUGAAAAGUUUUCUCUCUCCUCUGUUUUUUCUAAUGAAUUUCUCUCUUUUAACAAUAGUCAAGAAUUAAAAUGCAAAACAAAUAAAGUUUAAUGACUAAAAUAUAAAAGUUAAAAAGAAAAAGGAUCAAAUAUGCAAAUUGUGAAACUUACAUGAUCAAAUUGAAGUUUUUCACACUUUUUGAAAAUAGAAAAAGGUUCUAUUCUUGAAAUUUGAAUUUUAGUUUUUUUUCUUUCAACUUUUCUUUUAAGAAAAACCUAAAAAUCAAUUUCAUAAAUAUCUUUAAUUUAACCUAAGAAUAUCAAAUGCCAUAUUAGGUAUGCAAAGCAUACUAAUCAAAAUAAAUCCCAAAAUAUAAAAUCAUUAUAUUAGAACUUGUAAGGAUGAAAUUAAAAAGAAAUUAAGUUCAAUAAUUAAAGUAUAAAAAAUAAAAAAUUCAAGGACUUAGAAAGGAAAAAUUGGAUGUGAACAAUAUCAUCAACAAAAUGUAAGAGAGUGCAAAAUAGAAUAAUAAUUAAAAACCCAAAUCUUUUAGUUUAUAUUACAAUGUCAUUAAAAUUAUCUAUUUUUUAAAUACGAUAAACAAUACAUUUAAUAAAAAUUUUGUGUUAAUUUUUGUGAAUAAUUUUAAAAUCAUAAAAUACAUUUGUCUCUCUAAAACAUAUUAUAUUAUGCUUCCUUAAUUUUAUUCACUAACACACUGGUCUUUAAUGCUAUAAUAUUGAUUUGGAUAAAAUUAAUAUAUUGAGUUGCUAAUUGUCACACACACAUAAGUGAGACAAAUACAUCACCACCAUCAACUAACUUCUCACCAUAUGAUAUUUAGUAAGUAAAUUCAAAUAAUUAUGAACAAUAUAUAUUAAUGAAUUCUAUUUUUAUUAGUUAUUUCACAUGCACUAUACUACAUGUGGUAUCAACAUUAUGGAUGCUUUUUAUGGUAUCAUGAAUUAUUGUUUUUAAUUGAGAAAUGGAAAGAUAGUGUGUCCACUUAAUAAAAUAAAUUAAAACAAUAAAAUAAAUUAAAAAAAUAUUUUUUAACACUAAUUAAAUACUAAAGUAGAAACUUAAUUUUACUAAUAAAAGCAAAAGAUAGAUUCACUUGUAAAUAUUUUACAUCGAUUAUUCUUUUAUUUAUACAUUUCCUAAAAUCAAAUAGGCAAACAUAUCCCAUAAAAUAAAAUAAAGAAACCUACCUUUUUGUUUUAAUACAAUAACCUUAUUUAUAGAAAUUUAAAUCCCAAAUUCAAUACAAUAUUAACUGUCAAUUAUUGUAUAAAGACUUCUGAAUUCUUUUAAACUUCUUGAUUGAUUUGAACAUACACCAAUUUUAACUUCCAUGGAUCACUAAGAAGAAGUAAAGAAAACAUGAUUAUAUCCUAAAAACACCUCUUAUAAUUCCCAAGAUUAUGUCUGCGCAUGCUUGAGCUAAAAUCCAUCUCAAUUGCUCUACUCUUUAUGAUUGGAUCCCUUUUCUCCAGUUUGGAAUAAAACGUGUGGUUGUGUUUUAAAAAUGUUUUUGAAAAAAAUUAAAAUUUUUUAUUUUUUUUCUUUACUUCAAAUAAAUAUUUUUUUGUGUUUUCUAAUCAUUUUAAUGUGCUGAUGUUAAAAAUAAUUUUUUUAAAUAAAAAAAUAUUCUUUUGAUGCAUUUCUGAGUAAAAAACACUUGAAAAAACAACCGCUAUUAUACUCCCAAAUACCCUCUAAAAAUGAUCAAGCAAUGUAUAUAGAUGAUCACAUACAAAUUGACAUUACAUUUCUUCUAAUAGAUGUAACCUUAUUUGAAAGGGGAAAAAAAAACAAGAAAAACAAUCUCCUGGGUUGAUAUGAUUUGGCCCAAUGUUGUUCUUUAGUCAUGUGUUGGUAUUGCCCUAAAUGAUUGAUGACAUGGUGAUUAAAGAGGUUCGCUCAUAUUCUUUAUUUUUAAUAUUCAAGUAUUGAGGCUAUAAUUUAUUUUUUUUAUUAAACGCAUUUACAUACACCGUAUUGAUAUGAGAAAUGUAUCUCUUAACUGAGAAUCUAUAAAAAAAAAAAAUGUAUUGAAGUAGCUAAGAGCAUCUUUAAUGACAAAAACCAUUUAGAAAAACUAAAUUGAAUAGGCAUGCUUGAGCUUAAAUCCACCUAGUCAGGACUCUUGGCAUGGAACAGAACUUCACUCAAGUUCUAUUAUUCGUAUGUCGUCCUCUUAGGAGUGUUUUAAAAAUAUAAUAAUUGUUAUUUUUCAAAGUAUUUUUUAUAAGAAAUUGAAUCAAAUUAAUAUUUUUUUAUUUUUUUAAAAUCAUUUUAACACCAACACAUUAAAAUAAUUUAAAAAAAUCAAAAAACAUUAAUUUGAAAUAAAAAAAAUAAAAAAAUUUUAAUUUUUUAAAAAAUACUUUUAAAACACAAAAUUAAGCAGCUCAUCCUCUUGAACUCGCCGAAACUCACUUCUCCAUCAUCUGUGUGCAUUAUAAGCCAUCAAAUACACAGGAAGAAAAAUAUGAGCAUGUAAUUAAAACCAGUACCUCGCAAUUUAUAAAAUUAACUUGGGUAAAGAAUUGUUUGAAAGUUCCAUAUCCUAAUUUUACACUGCUAUGUGAUAAGACAAGUUAACUUUGACAUCUUUUGGUGUCAGUUUACAAUUUCAAAAACUAGCAGCCUUGGACAUGAAUACCUUAGGACACAUAUUAAAAAGUAGUUCUAAGACAAUUUCAUGCCAAUUUAUUGUCGAACAAACCACUCAUUACAUGAUGAUGAAUUCUCGUUAGUUCGUGACAUAACUUUUUGAUUUCUACUUUUAGUUUUUUACUUUGAAAACAAGACAUUUCAUAAGUUCCACGAGCACAAUUCUACUCCUUUAUUUCACAACAGGUUCAUAAUUUAACUUCCAAAUCUAAUAUGUAAGCAAUGACAACAGGUUAAAUUACAAUCUCGGUGAGCUUCCUCAACCAUCUCUUUGAUCUCUGUAGGAGAAACUUUCACCAAGCUCCUUGGCUAUUCGCUUGAAGUCAUCUACAGAGUUUUUUCCCUGAAACAAAAUAUAUUAAAUAAUAAUUCAUCAACAUGAGAAAGGCCUCGUUCUAUUCCUUGCCUUUUUCAGUAGACAUUGCUAAAAGCACUUAUAUUUAGACAAUUCCCAUUAUACAAAAAAAUGUAUUUUUGUUGGGGCAUCAACUCCCUCAUUGUUAAGAGUAUAAAGAAGGGUUUUGAUCUCCCAUGAACAAGAACCAUCUUAAACUAUUAUUGAAGCAGUGUAGCUGAUACAAUCCAAUCCACGGGAUUCGCAUCAGUAGCCCUAUUUUUCAAGAAGUUUAUACUUAAAAAUCAUUGUAUAUAAAGAAUUACCUAGCUGCCAACUCAAAAGCAAUAUCCUUUUCAAAAACAAGUGAAACUAUUUUAAGAGAUCGUUGAUUGCAUUCACUUCAAACCAAUAGGCAUAAAAGGGCCUAUUGAUAUGUGUGUAAAUAUGGAAAACCAAUUCAAUCUAGAGAUGAUAAAACUCUAUUAUGCUGUUUUGGGAAAACCAGAAUUGCAAAAUGCGCACAAAUACUAAAACUUUCACCCAUACAUCCACAAGAAAAAUGGCAUUGUAAAACACAGUAGAUAAAAGAAAAGCUCAAUGCAUGUACAUAAUAAGGCACAAAAGGUAGCUCUUCUGUCAUCUCGAAACCAAAUGCCCUGUUAUUAGACAUUUUUUUGUUACAAUUGUUUUGGGACAAAAAAAAAACUCAUCAAAUCUGCUAAUGUCAAAAAUAAUUUUUUAAAAAACAAAAACUUUAUUUUAAUAUAUUUUUAAACAAAAAAACAUGUUAAAAAUUACUUGUUAUCACAAUACCAAACAUGUUCUAAUCAUUCUGAUUCCUUCUGAUCCUUCAAGGUAGGUAUGGAAAUAUCUAUAAAUGGUGUAAGGUUUAAGUCGUGAAUUGAGAGGUUAACUUAUAGAUCAACUUGAAUCUAUCUUCAAAAGUUAUUAUUUUAGAUAAAAUAAUUAAAAAAACUAAAACCAUGCUUCAGUACAAAUUAAUCUCUUCACGUACAAGAUCCUCAUUAAUGAUAUGAUUUAUGUACGUUUUCUAAAAUCAAAUAGCCAAACCUAUCCCAUAAAAUAAAAUAAAGAAACUUACCUUUUUGUUUAAAUGCAAUAACCUUAUUUACAGAAAUUUAAAUCCCAAUUUCAAUACAAUAUUAACUGUCAAUUAUUGUAUAAAGACUACUGAAUUCUUUUAAACUUCUUGAUUGAUUUGAACAUACACCAAUUUUCACUUCCAUGGAUCACUAAGAAGGAUUGAAGAAAACAUGAUCAUAUCCUAAAAACACCUCUUAUAACUCCCAAGAUUCUGUCUGCCACAUCUUGUCCAAAUUGAAUAGGCAUGCUUGAGCUCAAAUCCAUCUCAACUGCUCUACUCUUUAUCAUUCGAUCUCUUUUCUCCAGAUGAUCCCUCUCAUUUUCCUCAAUAAUAGUCGUUCCUCCUUUACAAACACAACUAUCCAUCCAUAGUUCAAGAACCUCAUUAGCUAUGGGAUCAAUAUUGUCGCGAAUAAUUUCUUCAGCACGCUCCGUCGUUCCACCGUCCUCACAUGUUAUGCUAACCAAAAUCCCUGUGGGAGAAACAACAUUUCGAAAGUAGAGGGAAGAUGAGAAGUAGGGUUUGGCUUCAAGGACUUGUGUGUCAAGUUGUUUCCUAAGUGCUUCAA
This 35839-nucleotide long non-coding RNA is filed under the name Populus trichocarpa (black cottonwood). RNAcentral describes it as "long non-coding RNA (PTRI_LNC001952)". Lineage: Eukaryota; Viridiplantae; Streptophyta; Magnoliopsida; Malpighiales; Salicaceae. The record is from RNAcentral.